This 641-nucleotide ribosomal RNA is filed under the name Gammarus sp. 9 ZH-2011. RNAcentral describes it as "bacterial SSU rRNA". It matches the Rfam family "Eukaryotic small subunit ribosomal RNA", at positions 174 to 756 of the family's 1831-position model. Lineage: Eukaryota; Metazoa; Arthropoda; Malacostraca; Amphipoda; Gammaridae. The record is from RNAcentral.
AUAUCCCGAAGGCGAUGGUUGUGCUUGCUUGUCUUGCGCUCUCACUGCUCUGACGGAUGCUUUUAUUAGACCAAACCGCUGAGGACUUGGGGGUUCGCUCUCUUGUUUGACUCGUGUAAUGGUGACUCUGGAUAACCAAAAUUAUGACAAGCGCACGUACUUCUCUUCUGAGCGAGACGGCGCUGCCACUUUCGAGUGUCUGCCUUAUCAGCUAUCAACCGUUCGUUAUGCGCGACCGAUGGCUUUGACGGGUAACGGGGAAUCAGGGUUCGAUUCCGGAGAGGCAGCCUGAGAGACGGCUACCACGUCCAAGGACGGCAGCAGGCACGCAAAUUACCCAAUCCCAGCAAAUGGGGGAGGUAGUGACGAAAUCUAACGAUGCGGGCGCCCUUUCUGGGGCCCCGCAAUCGGAAUGGGCACUUUCUAAACAACCUGUUGAGAACCUACUGAAGGGCAAGUCUGGUGCCAGCAGCCGCGGUAAUUCCAGCUUCAGCAGCAUCUAUUAAAGUUGCUGCGGUUAAAAGGCUCGCAGUUGAAUGUCUGUAUCGAGCGCAGGUCAGGUGGACGUUGGGGCGUGGAAGUACGGGCAGUUGGAUGUUCGGGGGGCCUUCGUGCUCAACGGCUCCUUCGGCUUUUCCACA